UUUGAACGCUGGCGGCAUGCUUUACACAUGCAAGUCGGACGGCAGCACAGAGAAGCUUGCUUCUUGGGUGGCGAGUGGCGAACGGGUGAGUAACAUAUCGGAACGUACCGAGCAGUGGGGGAUAACUAAUCGAAAGAUUAGCUAAUACCGCAUAUCUUCUGAGGAAGAAAGCAGGGGACCAUUUGGCCUUGCGCUGUUUGAGCGGCCGAUAUCUGAUUAGCUAGUUGGUGGGGUAAAGGCCUACCAAGGCGACGAUCAGUAGCGGGUCUGAGAGGAUGAUCCGCCACACUGGGACUGAGACACGGCCCAGACUCCUACGGGAGGCAGCAGUGGGGAAUUUUGGACAAUGGGCGCAAGCCUGAUCCAGCCAUGCCGCGUGUCUGAAGAAGGCCUUCGGGUUGUAAAGGACUUUUGUCAGGGAAGAAAAGGGCGGGGUUAAUACCCCUGUCUGAUGACGGUACCUGAAGAAUAAGCACCGGCUAACUACGUG
Molecule: ribosomal RNA, 490 nt
Filed under: uncultured bacterium
Lineage: Bacteria
Description: partial 16S ribosomal RNA
Rfam family: Bacterial small subunit ribosomal RNA
Source: RNAcentral